RNAcentral lists this ribosomal RNA (450 nucleotides) under Triticum aestivum (bread wheat). RNAcentral's name for it is "partial small subunit ribosomal RNA". The record is from RNAcentral. Lineage: Eukaryota; Viridiplantae; Streptophyta; Magnoliopsida; Poales; Poaceae.
AUGCAGGACAGAUCUGAGCUCCACUGCCUCCGUUGCUCUGUUUCCCCCGACCAAAUCUGCCUCUUGCAUUCUGGCACCUCGCCGGCGUGGCUCCAGCAUUGCUCCGGCAACUCAGAUCCAACACGCCGUCGUUGCUUGAGCAUCGGGACGCCAUCAACGGGACGUCUUCCUCCUCCCCUGUCCCGAAGGCAUGAACGAUGCAGCUUCACUGCUACCCUGACGCCAUCAAGGACGGAGAUGAUGGCGGCGGUUCGAUGCGCAGCGAGGAGGCUCGGUGACUCCCUGCUCCAGCGAGCGCAGGUAGAGGAGCGACGCCGGCUCGUGCCAAGGAGGCUCAUGCACUCCCACCACCUCUCCACCGAGAAGCAAAAGAGACCCAGCAGAAGAAGGAGGCGCUGUAUCUCCAGAACAGAGUUCUUUGAGAAAUCAGGCCUACUUUUGUUCUAUUAA